This 430-nucleotide unclassified non-coding RNA is filed under the name Hevea brasiliensis (rubber tree). The record is from RNAcentral. Lineage: Eukaryota; Viridiplantae; Streptophyta; Magnoliopsida; Malpighiales; Euphorbiaceae.
CUCUUUCUCUGCAUAUUUUGAAGCUUCUACGUUCUAUGCCCAUGACUGGCAAUUACCGUAGUCUUCUUCCUUUCUACAAGGUGAUCCAAAAUACCAUUUCCGAAGAAAUAGAAGAUGACCCACAGACGCUGCAGAAUUUUGCGUAUGGGACAUAUUUGGGUCUCAUUUUAUGUCUCUCAUGGAACCUCAUAGCUGUUGCAUCGUUAUGGAUUAAGGGUGGGGUAGAAAAUUUAUCUUUGUUCCUAGCCAUUGCCUACUUGGUGCUUGGCAUUCCAGCAGCAUAUGCCUCAUGGUAUCGUACACUAAGUCUUGCUUUCAGAGAAGAAAACCCUUCGAUUUCGAUGCUUGAUAGGUUUCUCUGGUUCUACCUUAUUCACUUUGGCUUCUGCGUAUAUGCUGCAGUUUCUCCUACUACACAAUCUCUCGCUGG